RNAcentral lists this ribosomal RNA (401 nucleotides) under uncultured Clostridium sp. Its description in RNAcentral is "bacterial SSU rRNA". It matches the Rfam family "Bacterial small subunit ribosomal RNA", at positions 356 to 774 of the family's 1533-position model. Lineage: Bacteria; Bacillati; Bacillota; Clostridia; Eubacteriales; Clostridiaceae. The record is from RNAcentral.
GGGGGAUAUUGCACAAUGGAGGAAACUCUGAUGCAGCAACGCCGCGUGAGGGAAGAAGGUUUUCGGAUUGUAAACCUCUGUCCUCGGGGACGAUAAUGACGGUACCCGAGGAGGAAGCUCCGGCUAACUACGUGCCAGCAGCCGCGGUAAUACGUAGGGAGCAAGCGUUGUCCGGAUUUACUGGGUGUAAAGGGUGCGUAGGCGGCAGUGCAAGUCAGGUGUGAAAACUAUGGGCUUAACCCAUAGAUUGCACUUGAAACUGUGUUGCUUGAGUGAAGUAGAGGCAAGCGGAAUUCCCGGUGUAGCGGUGAAAUGCGUAGAGAUCGGGAGGAACACCAGUGGCGAAGGCGGCUUGCUGGGCUUUAACUGACGCUGAGGCACGAAAGCGUGGGUAGCAAACA